RNAcentral lists this ribosomal RNA (301 nucleotides) under uncultured bacterium. RNAcentral describes it as "partial 16S ribosomal RNA". It matches the Rfam family "Bacterial small subunit ribosomal RNA", at positions 509 to 807 of the family's 1533-position model. The record is from RNAcentral.
CAGUAGCCGCGGGAAUACGUAGGGUGCAAGCGUUAAUCGGAAUUACUGGGCGUAAAGCGUGCGCAGGCGGUUCUAUAAGACAGAUGUGAAAUCCCCGGGCUCAACCUGGGAACUGCAUUUGUGACUGUAGAGCUGGAGUGCGGCAGAGGGGGAUGGAAUUCCGCGUGUAGCAGUGAAAUGCGUAGAUAUGCGGAGGAACACCGAUGGCGAAGGCAAUCCCCUGGGCCUGCACUGACGCUCAUGCACGAAAGCGUGGGGAGCAAGCAGGAUUAGAUACCCCAGUAGUCCCUGUCUCUUAUAC